RNAcentral lists this ribosomal RNA (913 nucleotides) under uncultured marine archaeon. RNAcentral describes it as "bacterial SSU rRNA". It matches the Rfam family "Archaeal small subunit ribosomal RNA", at positions 1 to 922 of the family's 1478-position model. The record is from RNAcentral.
UCCGGUUGAUCCUGCCGGACCUGACUGCUAUCGGAUUGAUACUAAGCCAUGCGAGUCAUUGUAGCAAUACAAGGCAUACGGCUCAGUAACGCGUAGUCAACCUAACCUAUGGACGGGAAUAACCUCGGGAAACUGAGAAUAAUGCCCGAUAGAACACUAUACCUGGAAUGGUUUGUGUUCCAAAUGAUUUAUCGCCAUAGGAUGGGACUGCGGCCUAUCAGUUUGUUGGUGAGGUAAUGGCCCACCAAGACUAUUACAGGUACGGGCUCUGAGAGGAGUAGCCCGGAGAUGGGUACUGAGACACGGACCCAGGCCCUAUGGGGCGCAGCAGGCGAGAAAACUUUGCAAUGUGCGAAAGCACGACAAGGUUAAUCCGAGUGAUUUGUGCUAAACGAAUCUUUUGUUAGUCCUAGAACCACUAACGAAUAAGGGGUGGGCAAGUUCUGGUGUCAGCCGCCGCGGUAAAACCAGCACCUCAAGUGGUCAGGAUGAUUAUUGGGCCUAAAGCAUCCGUAGCCGGCUCUGUAAGUUUUCGGUUAAAUCUGUACGCUUAACGUACAGGCUGCCGGGAAUACUGCAGAGCUAGGGAGUGGGAGAGGUAGACGGUACUCGGUAGGAAGUGGUAAAAUGCUUUGAUCUAUCGAUGACCACCUGUGGCGAAGGCGGUCUACCAGAACACGUCCGACGGUGAGGGAUGAAAGCUGGGGGAGCAAACCGGAUUAGAUACCCGGGUAGUCCCAGCUGUAAACUAUGCAAACUCAGUGAUGCAUUGGCUUGUGGCCAAUGCAGUGCUGCAGGGAAGCCGUUAAGUUUGCCGCCUGGGAAGUACGUACGCAAGUAUGAAACUUAAAGGAAUUGGCGGGGGAGCACCACAAGGGGUGAAGCCUGCGGUUCAAUUGGAGUCAACGCCGGA